GGCAAAACGGAUAGGGGUAAGAUUGGGGUUUGGGUAGGGUUAGGUGUUGGGGUAGGGUUAGAAAUAGUGUUAGGUUCGGUUUAGGUUAGGAGUAGUGUUAGGGUAGGGUUAUGGGUAGGGUUGGGGUAGGGUUAGGAGUAGGGUCAGGGUAGGGUUAGGGUUGGGCUAGGAGUAGGGUUCGAAUUAGGGUAGGGUUAGGAGUAGGGUUAAGGGUAUGGUUUGAGUUAGGUAAGGAGUAGGGGUAGGGUUAGGAGUAGGGUUUGGGAUAGGGGUAGGGUUAGUGGUAGGGUUAGGAGUAGGGUUAUGGUUACGGUUAGAAGUAGGGUUAAGGUACCUCUACCCCUAACCCUACUCCUAACC
Non-coding RNA from Pelobates cultripes (western spadefoot toad), 360 nucleotides. Lineage: Eukaryota; Metazoa; Chordata; Amphibia; Anura; Pelobatidae. The record is from the annotation of a GenBank genome assembly.